UACAGAGGUCUCAAGCGUUAUUCGGAAUUAUUGGGCGUAAAGGGCGCGUAGGCGGCUUGGCAAGUGGAUGGUGAAAUCCCUCGGCUUAACCGAGGAACUGCCGUCCAAACUGCUUUGCUUGAGACCGGGAGAGGUGAGUGGAAUUCCCAGUGUAGCGGUGAAAUGCGUAGAUAUUGGGAGGAACACCAGUGGCGAAGGCGGCUCACUGGACCGGUACUGACGCUGAGGCGCGAAAGCGUGGGGAGCAAACGGG
This 253-nucleotide ribosomal RNA is filed under the name uncultured bacterium. RNAcentral's name for it is "partial 16S ribosomal RNA". It matches the Rfam family "Bacterial small subunit ribosomal RNA", at positions 524 to 776 of the family's 1533-position model. The record is from RNAcentral.